Molecule: non-coding RNA, 2418 nt
Organism: Aegilops tauschii subsp. strangulata
Lineage: Eukaryota; Viridiplantae; Streptophyta; Magnoliopsida; Poales; Poaceae
Source: RefSeq, a predicted model, not a curated record
UCUCCAUCUCCCUCGUCUGCAGCCGCCCUCCCCAUAGCCGCUACCACAACCGGCGCACUGCCCCAUAGCUGGCGCCCCCCACUCCUUCCCCCUCCCCUCAGGCUAUCCCCACCACUGACGACCUCCUUGCCUCCUCAGGCUCUGGCACGCCCAUGGCUCUGCUUCCCCCAUCGACCGGAGGAACGCAGACGGAGCACGCCGUCGCCAUCGCACAUUCUUCCUCCUCCGCUACCGGUCGUCUGCCCCUCCCCUCUUCUCCCCAUGGGAUAGCCAGGGGCCCACCUUGUGCUUGAGUCAUGGAGGGGCCGCCGGCGGGUGUGGAUGAGGAGAUCCACCACAGACAACCCGAGGUUAUUCGCCUGUCCAUGCUGCUAUUACAGAGGCGGACGCCGUGGCUGCCGUUUCAUCCGCACACGCAUUGGCCAUCCCAGAAUGUGACCCUAUGCGUGGUGGUGGGGUAUGAUCUGAUCAAGGUCUCCGAGCAGCUCUGCAAAUCAGACUUGGAUAUCCCGAUUAAAAGGUCAGUGCAGAAUCAUGUCUUACAAUUCCUACUGGCGCUAGCUCUUUAUUUAGAGAGUGAAUGUUUGCUCAGGGAUACAUUCAUAGAGUUCCUUAGCGCAAUGAUGUGUCACCUACAGGAAGAAACUGUAGUCAAGAAGAACGUGAUCAUUUGAUAAGUAUGAUAAGGUACAUAACAUUCAGCCUGAAAUGGUGUUGGUGUUUCGCAAAAAGUUUGGCCACUUGAACCUGACUUUUUCUAUUGGAGAGCAGAUCAGUUCUGAUGUAAGUGUUGUACUGUUGAAAACUCAUAAAUAUCUUCUAGAAAUAUUCAGCUCGUUUCCUAUCACGUUGUAUUUGCUGAUUUAUGGUUGUUCGUAUAGUUGGCUAUAGACUACAUUUUUCUUGUCCUACACUUCCCUUUCCUCCAUGUUAAAGUUCGCAACAUGGAAAAUGUUCACAUGCUUGAUAUGUGCUUCCGUCCUUAUGCAGUGUAGAUUUAAAAAAUAUAAUGUUUUAUGAUUGUCAUUUAUUUCCUAUUUUUGAUUCAUGGAUGACAGUAAUCUACCUACCAACGCUCAAAUGGUUUCAAGAAAUUGGUGAAAACAAGUGAUGUGUUUUCAAUCUUUUGAUGUGUGAAGAUGUGCAUCACAUGUCAAUGUAAGGAGAAAUGGAAGGAUUUAUGGCAACAUCCAACAAUUUUGUUGCUUACUUGUACAACCUAUUUUUUAUUUGGUGAUAUUCGUUGCAAUAUACCUAUGUAUCACACAUACUACAAGGAGACAAAGUCUUAAUUAAUAAUUGGAACCUGUAACUCAUAUAUGUCCUUUGUUAAGGAUGCUUUUUUUGUUUUAUAGCUCAGACUGAAUUCUAUGAUCCUAUCCAAGCCCUGUUCACUGGCAUUGCCUGUUGAUUCCCUUCUCAGAACAGAAGAUCCACACUAAACAUAGCAUGUCCAUCAGAGGAGCAAAUGUUGUUUAUCACCGCAUCUCUUCACAUGUUGGCAAGCCUGAUAUCUAUGAAAGUACACCUUUGUGCUUGGUGGUAAACUUGUUUCUCAUUCACUUAUGUUCAGCAUUUCCUUGAUCAUUUUGUAAUAUUAUUUUUGUAUUUUUCUCUGCAUUAAGAUUGAUGCACAGUCUGGUACUUAGAAGAAAAUUUUGUCCAUGAUUUUCUGCUGGGUUGAUUUUGACAUUAAUUUAACAAUGAGUACUUAAAUUGUGAUAUUUCGAAGUGCAUGGGAGCUAUAUAGGUCCGCUAUUAUUCGGUUUGAGCUUUAUGGCAGAAAUUAGCUUCAUGUUUCUCUGAACAAACUAGGCACUAUACAAGGUGGUGGCGCCGUACCUGCUUGGUGCGGACAGGAGAAGAUGCAGGGGUUCCGCUUCUCGGCCUCGGCGACAUCAUCGUGCCCCUCCACCGCUGGUUUUGUUGCUCAGGCGGCACUACCGCUCUACUAUGGCAGGCCUGCUUGUUGCUCAGAUCAAAUGAAGUUCAUUAGGAGGGACGCAAAACAACCAGGCAUGACCUACUGCUUCGCUCCUAACCGCUUGAGCAAGGCAAUGGGAGAGGCGAACACAACUACCUGCCUCCUUCCUUGGGGCAACACCGUUGGUCCCUGCCACCUCCGUCGUCUGCUCCGGUGACUAGCGGGUGGGGACCUUGGGGGUUCGGCUCCGACUGUAGAUAGAGUUACAACUUAAUAUUUUCCAUACAAUUUCCUAUGUCUACCUAUGAUCUGUGGAACUCCGCCUUUGCUUUUUGAGACUGCUAAACCUUCUGGUUGUGCCUCUCUGAUCAAGACUGGCCCUUCUAUGUUAACAAACCUAUUAGUAUCUAUCAAACUAUCUUCUGCUUUAUGAAUGGACACCGCUUGUUGAUAUUUCUAGCAUAUACUUGAUGAAAUAUGCAUAAAUAUGUGUU